GACGAACGCUGGCGGCGUGCUUAACACAUGCAAGUCGAACGGUAAGGCCCUUCGGGGUACACAAGUGGCGAACGGGUGGGUAACACGUGGGUGAUCUGCCCUGCACUUCGGGAUAAGCCUGGGAAACUGGGUCUAAUACCGGAUAGGACCACUGCCUGCAUGGGUGGUGGUGGAAAGCUUUUGCGGUGUGGGAUGGGCCCGCGGCCUAUCAGCUUGUUGGUGGGGUGAUGGCCUACCAAGGCGACGACGGGUAGCCGGCCUGAGAGGGUGACCGGCCACACUGGGACUGAGAUACGGCCCAGACUCCUACGGGAGGCAGCAGUGGGGAAUAUUGCACAAUGGGCGCAAGCCUGAUGCAGCGACGCCGCGUGAGGGAUGACGGCCUUCGGGUUGUAAACCUCUUUCAGCACCGACGAAGCGCAAGUGACGGUAGGUGCAGAAGAAGGACCGGCCAACUACGUGCCAGCAGCCGCGGUAA
This 478-nucleotide ribosomal RNA is filed under the name uncultured bacterium. RNAcentral's name for it is "partial 16S ribosomal RNA". It matches the Rfam family "Bacterial small subunit ribosomal RNA", at positions 28 to 523 of the family's 1533-position model. The record is from RNAcentral.